Molecule: ribosomal RNA, 253 nt
Filed under: uncultured bacterium
Lineage: Bacteria
Description: partial 16S ribosomal RNA
Rfam family: Bacterial small subunit ribosomal RNA
Source: RNAcentral
UACGGGGGGGGCAAGCGUUGUUCGGAAUUACUGGGCGUAAAGGGCUCGUAGGCGGCCAACUAAGUCAGACGUGAAAUCCCUCGGCUUAACCGGGGAACUGCGUCUGAUACUGGAUGGCUUGAGAUUGGGAGAGGGAUGCGGAAUUCCAGGUGUAGCGGUGAAAUGCGCAGAUAUCGGGAAGAACACCCGUGGCGAAGGCAGCUCUCUGGGACGGUACUGACGCUGAGACGCGAAAGCGUGGGGAGCGAACAGG